This 266-nucleotide non-coding RNA is filed under the name Clostridiales bacterium. RNAcentral describes it as "T-box sequence". It matches the Rfam family "T-box leader". Rfam says of the family: Uncharged tRNA acts as the effector for transcription antitermination of genes in the T-box leader family. T-boxes are found upstream of many aminoacyl-tRNA synthetase genes and some amino acid biosynthetic genes usually in Gram-positive bacteria. The record is from RNAcentral. Lineage: Bacteria; Bacillati; Bacillota; Clostridia; Eubacteriales.
GCAAAGACAAUGAUGGGAAGAGUAGAUAUAAUAAGGGAUUAAAGCGAGUCGAUGAGGGUGGAAGAUCGAUGUCAUAAUUAUAUUGAAGAACAUCCUUGAGUCUAUAACCGAAAUGUUUAAAGUAGGCUUAUACGGCACCAAACCGUUAUCCUUGGACAGCAUUAAAAAAUAUUGAAAUGUUUUCAUUCAAUAUAAUAGCUGCUGAUUGAGAUGGCCAUUUACAUGGCAAUUUGGGUGGUACCGCGAAUAAACCUUUCGUCCCUAUU